GGCCAGCAUGGUGAAACCCCAUCUCUACUAAAAAUACAAAAAUUAGCUGGGCAUGGUGGCAUGCGCCUGUAAACCCAACGGGUUGUUUCAAAUGUUUCAUGACAAUAAAAACACUUCAGUGAACAUCUCUGCACAUUCAUCAGAUGUACUUGUUUGACCAUAACCUUAGGAUAUAUUCUUUUUAUUUUCAACAAUAAAAAACUGGGUAAAUAAAUGUUGGUAUUCUCAUUCAGUGAAAAUUAAGCUAGUAUGAAAAACAAUUAUCUAGACCCAUAUUUACUGACAUCGAAAAAUGUCCAUUUUUUAAAAAUAAAGCAGCUUAUAGACAAUAUACAUUUGCUUAAUGAAGAACUGCUCAGAGAUAAUAUUCAUUAAUUUUGUUACUCUCAAAAACCAGAAACAAAGAGGGUAAUGAGAAUAUGUCAGUAUUUUUAUGCUAUCAAGGAGACAGGGAUACUCACAUUUUUAUCCUAGACUCUGGAAUGAGUUGCUUCCCUCUCUGAUUUCUUCAUCUGUAAAAUGAGAGAGUAAAAAAAUAGAUUAAAAUCUUUCCAGUUUUAGAUUUUAAAUACAUGUUCACUAACAUGUAGAAUUAAAUAUGAUAUGAGAAUGUGUUGGAUCCUGUCCAAAAGUGUGCUGGCUAACAGAGAACCAACAUGUUAGGGUGUGAUCAGCCUGGGGCGGUGCUGAGCCCCGAGCUGUGAAAGCGUUCUGCAUGGAGCAGACUUUGCAGUUCUGUUCUUAGGACAGUCUAGUAGGUAAAAUGAGACCAGCACUGAGACAGAGGGAAAUUCUUGCAGAUAAUUGUUUUAUACCAUGUCAAUGAAAAAAACUUUAACUGUGCCAGGAUUCAGAAUGUGACAAGGUUUUAGAAUCUACCAAAAUUCUACUGAAACGUGGCUAUGACUAAAACAAAUAAGAUGCUUCUGUAAACAGAUCGUGACUUGUCUGUUAGCCCCUUUGAAAACAAUGUGCAUGUGAUUUAUUACGGAUUAUAAUUACCUCGUGAAGUAAUGGGAUUUGUGCAGUUUUUGUCUGUCUGGAUAAAAACCCUUGGCUGUGUCUUCUAACUUGGUGAAAAAUCACAGCAACAGAGGCAGCCCAAGGAUUUUAAAUCAUCCUGUGCAUACUCUCAUUUUGUUUUUUUGCUGUGGCUUUUACCUACUAGAGAGGAUAAUGCAUUGUCCCCAGGGAAUUAGAGACUGUCAUAUAUGCCUUAUAGAAUACAACGGAGAUUAAGUAAUAUACACACAUAUGAAGUUAUAUGUACAGUAAUUGACAUUAGGUGCUCCAUUAAACAAUGAAAUGCCACAGUGUACCAGUUCUUCAGGACAUGUUGCCAUGGAUACCCAGUGUGAUGGAGAUGGGGAAAGAGUUGCUGAGGAAUUCAACCAUUUCAUCUUGAGGUGGACUGAAAAAUAAACUGCCCAGAGACAGGAACCAUGAAACCAGUCAAAUAUACAAGUAGUUGUUUUCAAAACUGUCAAAAAAAAAAACGGAAAACAUGUUUGAAAAUGAGUGCCAAUUAAUAACAGUUAUUUUAUAGUUUCUGUUUCAUUAAGCCAAAGGGAACGGGCAGGGUUCUUUAUUUCAGCUAGGAAAUUAUGUGAUAUAUUAGAUAUUUACAGAAGAAAGUAUUUUAAUCAAAGCUGAAUAAAAUUCAGAAAAUCAUGUGUAGAAAUAUAGAAACAUGGCAGUAGGCUGGUAGGCAAGUUCUCUCAGGGUCUGCUCAGGUGCACUGAGUACUGUGAACCUCAGGUGGCCUUGGGGUUGAUGACAAAGCAAAGAUUUCAGAAAGGAGCAAGUUUUAAGAAUGAAUGUGAUGCAAUAGAAGCAGAGGCAAGGAUGACAGCUAACUGGUUUGAUGUGAUUUUGUGGUUUGUAACCAGGACUAAGUGUCUGAUUAUUUGAUUUUCUAGAGACAUUGCUGAUUUCAUCACUAACCUUCUCCCAAGAAAUUCUCAUCUCUUAUCAAAAACAAGGUCCCUGGAAUGAAGUUCAGAGAACUCACU
This is a long non-coding RNA of Sapajus apella (tufted capuchin), 2012 nucleotides long. RefSeq lists it as uncharacterized. The transcript is spliced from 3 exons. Lineage: Eukaryota; Metazoa; Chordata; Mammalia; Primates; Cebidae. The record is from RefSeq and is a predicted model, not a curated record.